GUCUCCAUGGUGUAGUGGUUAUCACGUGGGUCUCAUACUAGAGCAGUAUGACUUGAAGGUUAACCUUCAGGAAAUCCCAAGGCCGGGAGUUCGAUCCUCCCUGGGGACA
This is a transfer RNA of Aspergillus carbonarius ITEM 5010, 109 nucleotides long. It matches the Rfam family "tRNA". From Rfam's summary of the family: Transfer RNA (tRNA) molecules are approximately 80 nucleotides in length. Their secondary structure includes four short double-helical elements and three loops (D, anti-codon, and T loops). NCBI's taxonomy places the organism in Eukaryota, Fungi, Ascomycota, Eurotiomycetes, Eurotiales, Aspergillaceae. The record is from Rfam.